GCAGGGGAGGCUGCCGAGCCCUGUCGGAGCAGGGCCGCUGGUUGCCGCUGUCAGGCUCCCUCCCUCCAGCGCGGCUGAGACUACAGACCUCUCCUGCCUGUGCAGAAAACUAAAGACCAGCCGCGAGGCCGAUCCUGGCUCAGCCUAGCCGCAGCUCUCUACAAGUUACCAGUAGUCUGGUAGGCCUUUCAGCACCCCAGUCUUCUUUCAGCUGAGAGAGAAGAACAAAAUGUGAGCAUGUGAAAGAACAGCAUGAAGACAUUAAGGCCAGGAGAAUGUUUCUGAGAGAAAUGGAAAGUUUGGAAGCCAUCCUGAAAACGCAGACAGUAAGAGUGCCUAAACCCAUCAAGGUUGUAGAACUGCCUGGGGACAGUACUGUGCUGGUGAUGGAACAUUUGGAAAUGAAGAGCUUACACAGGUAAAAUAGUUAUUUUUGCUUCCCUUGACCAGAAAUUUUGGCUAUUAUGACAAUGAAAUCACUUGCUUUCAUAGGAGAAACUUGUUUAAAUUUUUUAUAAAGCAUGUCAAGGGACAUAUGGGAAGUUAUGCAGCAGAGAACUGUAUUAAAUACUUUAUAACGCCUCACUUAGCAAACUGAUAAUACAUCAAGAAAUAAUUCUGGGUUUUGAUUACUUUUGGCUUCUUUGUUUAGGUAAUUAGUGGUUUUUACAAUAAGGUUCGUUUUUACAUUAGGGAAAAUUACCAACCUGGUCACCUGUUUUGUGUACUUGCCUUUGAUACAAGAACCAGUGCUGUAAGGUUUGCCAUGAGUAUGCAAAGGCACUUUCCCAAAUGAAUUAAUCUUGAUUUCAAUAUUUUUGCAACUCUUGGCCUUCAUUUUGAUAGUUUCAAACUUUUGACCCUUCUCUGUGACUAGCACUUAAUAUGAUGAAUCCCAUCUGAUUCCACUGGGGAUCAUGACCAAUUUCUUUUCUCAUUUUCAGAACUUCUGUAGCCAGUUUUAAGUCUUGUCCCUCAUCCUGCUCGUUGCCAGGGUUUGAUCCAUGAAGAGCUCUCAGUGAGUCCCGAGAGAAAGGGCAGAGAUCUUGUAGUUUGGAUUUCAAAUUGUACCUUUGGGGUGCAAAUUCUGGGGGAUACCUACUAUCUGUGUUAACAGGAAUAAAAUGAAGAACUAAAUUUGCUUUAAAUGGCAGUGCCUUUAGAAUACAGAAAGUGCAGAAAGGUCAAGUAAAGGAAAAGGAACAUAAUUUUGUUAAUAUGGGGGGCAACUGGCUCUAAGGGUUGUUUGCAAUUACUACAAGACUUUCCCGAACUUUGUAGAGGAUCAACUUUUAUUAAAAAUAGAUAUUAAACUAGGUCUACCUGACACCUGUCUUUGAGGCCUUUUAGAAAACAGCAGCCAGAGACAGGGAUAGAAGAAAGAGGAUCAGCCUUGUUUGAUUCUAUUUUCCAAAGACAGCUUCCCAGAGAAAAUAAUAAUAAUAAUAAAAGGAAUAAAAUGUUCCACAUUAUGUGCACGCUUUCUUACACAUACCUUAGUGAAAAUGCUUAGUGAAGUGAUAUCACACAGGAAUUAGAAUUUAUAGUUUAUCAUUGUUAGUAAAUUUAUUACUUCACUUUCAAUAAUGGUGGCAGAAACAACCAAGUAAGUACAUUUUGUCUAUAUUAAUAUGCAGUCUUGAUAGGAAGACAGAGUGCUUAUAAUACUGGAAUGUUUUGGGAACCUAUUUUGUUAGAGGUGAAGAACUGCUACUUACUUGAUAGACAUGUUCAAAUAACUCCUGGAAUAUCGAGAUCUGGAUUCAUUCUUGGGUCAGAGUUGCUAGCAUUAUUUUUGUUUCUUAUACAUUCAGCACUGCUUGGAACUCAGCUGGCUGAUCUUCACCUUCAUAACCAGCAGCUUAGAGAGAAGAUGGAGAAAGAAGGGAGCACAGUUGGACAUGGACAAAUGGAAGUCCAGUUUGUGGAUCAGUUUGGCUUUCAUACAGUUACCUGCUGUGGUUAUCUUCCAAAGAACUGACAUCUGCAGUCCUGGUUCUUCAGGUGAAGAACUGGUGCAGUGCCAGAGAAAGGAUCCAGCCCCAGAUCAACCUGAUUGAAAGGAGCUCAGGAGACAGGGAAGCAAGGGAACUUUGGACACAGCUUCAGCUGAAGAUACCCAGUUUUUUCUGUGGUGUUGAAAUCAUUCCUUCUCUCCUGCAUGGGGAUCUCUGAGGAGAAAAUGUAGCUGAGGAUGAUUCUAGUCCAAUUAUCUUUGAUCCAGCUUCUUUCUAUGGGGAUUCAGAGUAUGAUCUUGCAAUAGCUGGGAUGUUUGGUGGCUUCAGCAGUUCUUUUUAUUCUGUUUAUCACAGUAAAAUCUCCAGAGCUGCAGGGUUUGAGAAAUGCCUGCAGCUUUAUCAGCUUUUCCACUACAUGAACCACUUUGGUUCAGGGUACAGAGGGUCUUCUAUAAACCUUAUGAGAAACCUUGUGAAGUUGCUGCUUAAGCCAAGUACUUCUUGCGCUGUUUGGAAAACCCCAGACUUGCUACUGCAGCUGAAGGUGCAGUGAUGUUAAAAAAACCCUGUGAGAUCCUUGACCUUCUUGCUCAGCUGAAGACCUUAGAAUUAGUGAGUCCUACUGAGUACCAAGUAGGAACUUUUUAGAAUUGUUGGGAAUAGCUUUAUCAUGGAAAUACCAUGAUUAUUCACUAAUGCAUAGUGAGUAAACUAAUCUCAGCAUCCAGAAAGCACUUGGGAUUAUGCAAAGUAAUACAAAUAAAUACUGAGGAGAUGCCUAAAAAAGUUGCUCUCUGUGUUUUGUGGUGUCUUCCCCCCUCUUUCUCAUGCAGUUGUGAGCAUGAUUGCAAUGUUAACAACAUGGUUUGAAAGCCAACAGGAAAAUAAUGUAACAGGAACUGUAAGAAGGGAUUUGGACUUGCUGUUUAUUGUCAUAGAAUCACGGAAUGGGUGAGGUUGGAAGGGAUCACUGGAUGUCAUCAAGUCCAGCCUCUCUGCUUUAAGCAGAGUCCUCUAGAUCCCAUUACUCAAGGUUGUGUCCAGAGGCUUUUAAAGACCUCCAAUGUGUUGCUAAUAUGAUUCUUUUGGAUGGAGACUAUUCUUUUAUAAAGUGGAGUGAAAUUUUGAUGCCUCCUAGCAUGCUUGUAGGCUGUUCUGUGCUUUCUGGUCAGAAAAGAGCUAGUUCUUUUCCCUUAUUUGAUUAUAUUUAUGUCAAAUAGUGUGUAUUUUUAGAGAACUCUCCAGGUAAGACACUUUGCAUGUACACAUCUUGUGGAGGUGUAUUCUCUCACCACUGCAAACAGAAGAUGCUUUUUGACAGCUGUCACUGCCUUCACAACAAUGCCAUCUGGUCAUGGUGCAGUCUUCACAUACAUUUUCUGUAGCUUUAGAGUACAGGUGCCAUAAGCUAACAUUUUAUUUCAGUCCUUGUGGAGAAAUAUUAAAAGACAAGUCUGAGCAAAGGAAGUCCAUGGUGGCAAUAGUUCAACAGAAACAAGAAGUUUGCAGCCCCAGGAGUGGGGACACUGAGGGAGCCAGGUGUGCUGCCCUGAGGGAAGCAGGAAACAAAGGAUGGAGUGGCAUGGAGGUGUUGUGGCCAUGCUCUGUUUAAAACAAUGUAGCCAAUGGGAGCUAAGCCAAGGAAGGGCCCAACCAGUCACCAAAAGCUGAAUUUUGUUUUAUUGGCUAGAAAAUACAUAAAACUUUUCAUACCUGCGUAUGCUAAUGAAGUAAAACCUCUACAUGCUUUACAUGUGUGAACUAAAAUCACUCAAUUUCCAUGUAAUCAUGAAAUUACAUCAGCUGGAACUUUUUCUUUUCCUCGCCCCCAAAGAAAACUAUAAAUACAGCAUAGGAGGGAGGGGGUCAGAGGACACUUGCCCUGUGUAUCCUGGGAUGACUGAUGGGCUGUACCCUGCUGCUUUUCCACUGGGGUGCCUUCAAUUUUGUAUAUAUUUUACCAGUGUGUGGAUGCUGAUGAUAAAAUGUUCUGUCUGUGCCUUUUUCCUCAUUCCAUUCACCCAAACUUAGUCCAGUUGGUUGAGAAAAUGCUUUGGAGCUUUAGCCAGCAGUCAGCCUGUUAAGAUCCCGUAACUGAUCCAUCUUCCUUCAUAAUAAACUUAGAAGUUACUUAACAAGGUCAUUCUCUUUACAAAUCUUCAAAUGUUUGUACCAAGCUAUAGCAAAAUUCUGCAUUUAUUACUAAAAAAUAAAAUAUUGAAGCAAAAAGGAUGUCCCAUACAUUCAGGAGCUUUUCCUUUCCUCCAUGGGAGGCCUCAGUUAAACCAGCUGAAAUAAAUAGAAAUUGUUCCAUGAGAUAGGAAUAAAACUGGAUUUGUUACAAGUGUCCAUGUUAGGUUCUUUCACUUCUUUUAUAGGCAACUCCCACCCCUUUCUCUCCCAAUACAUUCUAUACAUCUUCCUAUAUUUUUCUUUUUUAAAUUCUGGAAGUGUAAAGUGUGAGAAGAGACAGGAUGAAAGGCAUCAGAGAGUUGCAUUUUUAAAGUACCAACAAAAUCUUAACAGAAAGUUCUGAAAAAAUACUGCUUGUUAUUAUUGUAUUGUAUUUUAGAAACAGGCUUCUAUCACAAGUCACUAUGGCUUUGGGUCAGUUAUGGGUUUGAUUUAGACAAUGAGCACAGUAACUUCAGGUGGAGGACUGGUAAUGCAGCCAGAAGGGUAUUGCAAAAACAUAACACUUUUGAGAAAUAAAAUUAUACCUUUGGGGUGAAUACCAUUAAUAUUAAAAAAAAAAAAAAAAUUACAAUUCCAGCAGAGGAAAACUACUCCUUUAAAAGUUACUGUUUCUGAAAAUGAAACAGAAGAAAGUUAUUUCUGUUCAACUAGUGUGAAAAUCUGUAGUUUAAAAAAAAACAUUUGUAUUGUUUUAUAUAAAUAUUACAAAAGUUUUCACUAGCUAAGAUAUGUUAAUAUAAAUUAAGUGAAAUGAUUGUCUAGGCAGCAAGAACAAGAAAAUCCACUUGUUCUUAGUGUCACACUCACACUGUGUUUUUAAAGGAGAUAAAAAGAUAGCUUUACUCUGCUUAUGAUGCAUUAUACUCAACUCUAACAUGGAGAGGGGACAUCUUUUCACACACAUGCCUAAGUUUGCAUGUCAUGUGUGCUCACAGCGGUCAAAUAAUGAAAGGAAUUCUCCACUCUGUGAAUCCAAGAUUGAAUUCUAAAUUGUACCAUCUGAGAACUAAUUUUAUGAUCAUGAUCUCCAGCUGUCAAUCAGCCAGGAUUUAAAAAAAAAAAAAGGUUUUCUGAGAAAGAAAACAUGCUACAGUUUCUGAUAUGAUGAUACAAUUUCAAUACUAAAAAGUAUCUAUUUCUUCUAUUGUUACCUUCUGUUGUUUUCAUGUCUCCUUGGUUUAGCUGGGAGGCCUCGCUUAAACUUUCAAUUUACUGUGGAUAUCGCAUCCUACAAAUAUGCAGAAGCCAGGAAACUUUAUGAGCUUUAGAUUGCAAAGUUGGGUACAUGAUACCUCUGGUAGUAUGAUAUCUAAAAAGUCACAUUAAAAUAUGAUCCAUCAGUUUAACUAAAAUGAGGUCAGAAAAUAACCAGGGUUAUUCUUUUAUAUUUUUUUCUGUCAUUUGUUACAAGGUGUCAUGGUUUGACCCUGGCAGAAUGCCAGGGCCCCCAUGAAAGGUAUAUUUCCAAAAUGGUUACUGUGAGAUGUGACCUGGAAACAGAACAAAGCAGGCUCCAACUUGGGAAUGGAGGGAAAAACACAACACUUUAUUAAUCUACAACACAGAAACAUAAGGGAAAAAAAGAAAAAAAAAAACCACACACAACAAUCCACUCCAGUAUUUGGAACACUCCCAAAACACUCCUCCUCCCCCCAGUCCUCUAACAUUCAAAUCUCCUCUAACACAUCAAUUCUCAAUCCAAUACCAUCCUUCACACAACUUCCCCCCAGUUCAUCAGGAGAGAGGAAUCUCCCUCUUACACCAUGGGCCUCCCCAGGAAACACAGUGGGACCUCCUGUGCUUCUGUGUCACACGCGGCAGCCGCCCGGAGAGAAUCUGCCGUGGUGACCAUCUUCCUUCCAUGUCCAGCGCUCUCACCACUGUCCAUGGAUCCAAACUGCUCCUUGGGUCCUUUUAAGAAUGCUUUGUCGCCCAGUUCCAAGAAGUGUCAGCCUCUCACCAUUUGGGACACCUGUCCCCCCCAUAUUUUUACUCCCCUGGGGCCUGGGUCUCAGGAACAGAGAUCCUUCGCUGAAGGCAGAGGGCUCCACCACACCCUCCCCAUCAGUCUCUCUUCCCUCUAACUCUCCUCACAGCCUUACCAUUCUUGGCUUCCGGCCAACCGCCUCCCCCAAGGUGCAGUCUCUGCAUUAUUGGAAGAAAUUGGUUUCACCCGUGGCUAUGUAAGAGAAAAGUCCAGCCAAAGCCACUCCAGUCAUCUCCUCCAUCUAGGGCACUCUCAUCUGCUGGCGUUUUCUUUACCUACUCAAACCUUCUCUUCUUUCCCAUCCUCCGUCCCCUCUCAAUCUGCGGCACAAGAUAUCAAAUUCCAAGCCAGCACAGUCUCUAUCAUUCUCUCCCAGGGGGGCUGCCCAAACAUCCCAGGUCUCCUCCACCCCUGCACCUUGCAGGGCUCCGGCCUCCCUUCCCUCAGGCCGCAUGGCCUCCCCCUCCCCCACCCAGACAUAGCUGGGCAGGGGUAGGAGGUCAGACCAGCUCACCUGCCGGACUCCAAAGAGGAAGUUUCUCUGGGAAUGCUCUGCUUUUAACCCCUGUGUGUUCUCAGAGGCGUAUCCAAAUCCUCAGUGGCCAGCACCAGAUGCCAAUUUCAAAUCUGGCCAAUGAUUGGUUUGACCACGACUUUUCCAGAAACUCACUUCUGGGCCAAACCACGACACAAGGCAUGAAGGGUGAAACAAACUCAAAAGUCUGUCUAUGCCUAGGAAAAUAUAUGAGGUUUUAUAUUUCAGAUGCAAAGAGGAAGCACAACUCAAAAGUCUUGAAGCAGAUGAAAGGCAAAAUUCUAGCUCACUCAGAAAGGUCACUUCUGUCAGUCCUAUGAAGAAAACUUCAGAUUCAGAGUAACACAGAGUCAGACCUUGGGAGAUUAUGCACUCUGGAAAUGCACACCUGCACCGAAGGCAUAGUGAGGAUAACAGGAGCAGGUUCCUCUGUGUCUCACCCCAACAUGACAGGAUUGCAUGGGAGGGAGUGCAGCACAGAGAGGAAAAUGCAGGCUACAGGGCUCCAUAUUAUGGCAGCAGCAGAGAGAUGAAUAUUUUUAGAAAGGAAUUGCUUCUCUGAAGCCAGAGAUUUAUGGCCAUAGAAAAAGACACCUGAAAGAUUCCUUCAUAAGAUAUUAGUGGAUAAUUUGAGGUAGUGGUUAAACAACAAAAAAAAUCUUCUCUAUAAAGAGACAUCUUAAAAAGGUCAGCAACUGGCUUUUGAAACCAGUGUUGUGAAGGAGGUAUUUCCUUAAAAACUUCAUGGUUUUCUUUUUAUCUUCAAUAGAACAGGAAAAGUCAUAACUGUACUAGGAAUGUAUUUAACGUUGAUUUAAUAACCUAAAUAUCUAUUACAAUUAAAUAAUAUAAUAAUAAUUAAAGCUAUUUUAGAGUUCUGCUAGCACUUUGCUUUCCACUGUGUGGAAAGACAAAUAUUUGUCCAUGCCUGUCUAUCAUUUACAAACUUCUCAGCCUCCCUUCCUUGCAUUUAGAACCUCCUGAAAAUAGAGACUGCUAGAACACUGCCUCUUUGAGAGGAAUUACGGAGCAAACAAGCCUGAAGAUGCAACUUCUCAGAAAGGAAGAAAAUAGAGGAUUCACCGCCAAUGUUAUGUCUUGUCAAACAUCCCUCCUUGGCCAUACAAAGGAGUGGGGAAGGGAAGAUGUACCGGGGGCAUGCACGAAGACGCCCCGGUGCGGCAGGGGCGGGCGGCAGCGGGGAAGGGGCUCUGGGUGGGGAGAUGCCCGGGGGACCGAAAAGGAGGCAGGCGAGGAGUUUCAGGCUGCGAGCACGGCUCGUCCCUACGCGUGGAGCGCGUUCUGCCGUCCUCGCCUGCAGAGCCACUCGGCGGCGCUCCUGGCCCCGCGCUCCCGGUGCGCGGCGGCGGCGAAGGUGCCGCCGCUCCUCCCGGAGCGCGGAGCGCCAGCGGAUGAGGCUGCUGUGGCCCCGCCAGGCCUCUCCAUCCUGCGGCCAUCCCGGCGGGAAGGGGCGGCGGGCGGGCAGCUGGGGAAGGGCACGGCUCGGCUCCUGGCGGGGAAAGGCUCCAGCCGCGGAAACAACUCCUUCCCCGUUCGCCUGGCCGCCGCAGGGACACGGGACACCAGCGACGGCCCGACCUUACUCUGCCGGGCACCGUGCACUGAGCUUUGAUGGCCACGCGGCUGUGGCAGCGUUCCUCCUGCAGGCAGCUGCUGCUGCACCCUGGUCGUGGGCAGAGGGAAGGGAACUGGGAGCCACAGGUGAGGAGAAUAUCCAGUGCCAGUGAGUGCCAGUGAAAAUGAGAAGUUGGAUUUUUCACUUUUAACACCCCAAACCGCCAGUUACAUCACUUCCUGUUACUUCUUGUAAAACAAGAGCAGUGUCUGCUUCUGGUGACUAGGAAUAUAAAUGCUCUGGUGUUUGUGAAGGGCUCCUGGUGUUAAGAAUGAGCACUGUGUCUGUAGGGAUUGUAUUCUACGUUUUUUUAAUGUUUUGGGGUUUCUUGCCUACUGAAUACAGUCCAGGUCAUGUGAAGACACUGAGUAUUUAAGAAAAACCAAAACAACAAACCAUCAACCAAACAACUCCAAAACUAAUCAGAAUGGAUAAACAAAUGAGACUAAAUUUGUGUUGGUCAGCUCUGCCAGUAUGAUGAUUAAAACAGACAUAUUAAUGGAAUUGUGUUGAGAUAGCACUCUGUGGAAAUGACAGUGACUUAUGAGGGAUGAACACUCUGCCAAGCAAAAUACUGAAAAAAUUCUAAAUGACUACUGAAUACUGACAGAUCUCUGUCAGUUGUAUUUAAUUCUUAUUUUAUGAUUAAAUAUUAUAAUGAUAAAUAAUGAUGAUUAAAUAUUAUAAUGAUUUUUAUAUCUAAUGUAAGCUAUUUUUACCUUCAGAAUAAAGUAGUUGGAUGGCAGUAGGGUUUUUUUGCUUCAGUAUUGUUUUGUAGAACAGCAAUUCAAAAUGUGCUUGUGCAAAUAUUUAAUUAUUUCUACUAUUUAUGUUUCUAAGCUCUAGCAGACAAGGAACACCAUGCACUAAAUGAUUAUUUCAGCCAAUGAAACCAGGUUUUGUUACAUCUGACUAAGUCCCCAAGUUUUGGAGGAAAAGUUAAAAGAAAGUAAUGUCACCUCUCACUAACUUAGCAAAAACUGUUUCCACUUUACAUUUAUCCAAAUAAUGGUGCAUCUACAGCUGAAGAAAAAGGCUUUUUGUGCCUCU
Passer domesticus (house sparrow) is the source of this 9362-nucleotide long non-coding RNA. RefSeq lists it as uncharacterized. The record is from RefSeq and is a predicted model, not a curated record. Lineage: Eukaryota; Metazoa; Chordata; Aves; Passeriformes; Passeridae. The transcript has 5 exons.